AAGACCUUGCACUUUUGGAGCGGCCGAUGUCUGAUUAGCUAGUUGGUGGGGUAAUGGCCUACCAAAGCUUCGAUCAGUAGCUGGUCUGAGAGGACGGCCAGCCACACUGGGACUGAGACACGGCCCAGACUCCUACGGGAGGCAGCAGUGGGGAAUUUUGGACAAUGGGCGCAAGCCUGAUCCAGCCAUGCCGCGUGAGUGAAGAAGGCCUUCGGGUUGUAAAGCUCUUUCAGCCGGGAAGAAAAGGUUGCGAUUAAUAAUCGCAAUUUAUGACGGUACCGGAAGAAGAAGCACCGGCUAACUACGUGCCAGCAGCCGCGGUAAUACGUAGGGUGCGAGCGUUAAUCGGAAUUACUGGGCGUAAAGCGUGCGCAGGUGGUUUUGUAAGUCAGAUGUGAAAUCCCCGGGCUUAACCUGGGAACU
This 423-nucleotide ribosomal RNA is filed under the name uncultured bacterium. Its description in RNAcentral is "bacterial SSU rRNA". It matches the Rfam family "Bacterial small subunit ribosomal RNA", at positions 207 to 622 of the family's 1533-position model. The record is from RNAcentral.